Non-coding RNA from Chlorocebus sabaeus (green monkey), 1240 nucleotides. Lineage: Eukaryota; Metazoa; Chordata; Mammalia; Primates; Cercopithecidae. The record is from RefSeq and is a predicted model, not a curated record.
GCCAGGCUGGUCUUGAACUCCUGGACCCCAAGUGAUCUGCAGGCCUCUGCCUCCCAAAGUGUUGGGAUUACAGGCAUGAGCCACCACGCCUGGCCUAGCUUGCUCACUUUUAAAUAAGCUGCCAUGUUGGGAGAGGCCAAUGUAGCAGUCAACUGAGGGUGAACCAUUAGUGUGGGAGGAGUAAUCCAACAACCAUGUAAGUUUGUAAGUACACAUGGUGGUUGGAUUACUUUCUAUAGCGGAGGCUUGAUGACUGCCACCCCAGCAGACUUCUCAAAGAUGCUUGUGAGAAACCUUGAAACAGGACCCACCCAGAUUGUGCGUGGAUUUCUGACCUAUGGGAAAUGUACUUCAAGCCACUAGGUUUUGAGAUAACUUGCUACAAAGCAGUAAAUUCACAGCUCUGUAAUGCCCACUCUAAAGGUCCUGACAUGGGCAUCUCCAUUACCUUAGUCAUUAUCUAAGUCAUCUCCAUUACCUAAGUCUACUUCAGUUUCUCUGCACAGCAUUUGAAGUGUUUAUGUCUGGCCCCAAUCUGCAUUUUCAUACUUAACAUGCAUUUGACUUAACAUGUCCAAAACUAGAUGCCUGAUGCUUCACUCCCCUAACCCCAUUCCCUACAAGUCUGCUUCCUAUAAUCUUCCCUUCCCAGGUAUUGGCAACACCAGCAGUCCAGCUGGUCAGGAGCUGUGGAAUCAACCUCAUGUACCAUGUGAAUCCCUCAGCAAAUCCUAUUGGUUCUACCUUCAAAAUACGUCUUAAACCCACCCCCUCUUAGCAUCUUCUUUGCUACCACCUUGGUACAGACCAUCAAACAAGCUUGGAAUACCGGUCUCUACUUCAACCUUUGCUCCCUACAGUCAAUUCAGAUGGAACUAGAGCGAUCUGUGAAAACCUGAAUUAGAUUUUGCCUGCCUGAGUUCCUCUAGUAGUGGCCAUGAUUGCCAGAGAAGAUAGAGCAGGUCCCUCCCAGGACUUGCAACUCCAGCCUGUGUCUGCAGGGGGUACUGUAGGGACUGAUUUCUCCAGCCCAUGGCAACAGGCCUUCAUCUUGUGCCUGGAAAGAGGGAAGUCCAAGUCUGUCUGGCAGAGAUGGUGCAGAUGGGCAAGUUUUUCAGACACUGCAGCCAGCACUUCUGGGACCGCAGCAGUGGAGCCUGCAGAGGGCCAGUUCCCCAGGCGUGGGCUAUUGCCACUGUCACUUACAGACUCCUCAUGUGAUAAAAAACCCCUAAACAGA